CCAAGAGGUAAACUUGGUAGUUGUCACUUUCCCUUCUGUUAUUUACUUUUUCUUAAAAAGCUUGUUUAGUUAAUCAGGUUCAUACUAUCUUAAAAAAAUAAAAAUGUUAAAAACAGUAAGCCCCAUGUGAGUAUGCUCGUGGCAUAAAACCCAUAAGUACAAUUACUGUGGUGGCACAAAAAAAUAUAUAAAUAAUUUUUCCUGCUCUAUAAAAUGAAAAUAUAAAAAUAGAGAGUAACAC
RNAcentral lists this long non-coding RNA (241 nucleotides) under Sorghum bicolor (sorghum). Its description in RNAcentral is "long non-coding RNA (SBIC_LNC011893)". Lineage: Eukaryota; Viridiplantae; Streptophyta; Magnoliopsida; Poales; Poaceae. The record is from RNAcentral.